CGUUUGCUAUCCUGUGUUGUGCGUGAGCAAAAACUCAGCCCAUUUGUGUCAAGCAGGUCCUGACUAGAUGCAGGAGAGGAGGAGAGGAUCCGUGCGAGCCCGGCAGAGCACCGGACGCUACUCUCGGAGCCUGCUGGGGGCUAGCGCAAGGAAGGGGCUGGUGAGCUCAAGCUCGCCGCCAGCCCUACUACGUGUGCCCUCUGGUCCCAGCAGCAGUGAGCACUCCUGGCAUCCUUCCCCUGGAGCACAGCAGGUCUGGAGAAGCCCCUCUUUUUCCGAACCCUAGGAGCUCCACCUCUGCAAAGCCAUUCCCAGGAAGACGUCUUGCUUUCCUUUUACGCUAAGGACACCAGUUUGGCUAGACCUUGAAACAGUGCUCGAAAUAGCGCGUUGCCCUUCUCUGAAGCGCCUUCCUGUUCUCUCUUCCUCUCAGCAUUAAAGAACUGUGCACAUUCACCGUGAUCCUGACAUUUUGUUUACUUACUAUUAUGUGAAAGAACCCAAUGAAGAAAAUGGUACUGGGAUUGAGUUCCAUAAAAAUAGGCACUUACUGCCGUUUUAGAUUCCCUGGGGUGUCCACCCGUGCCCUGAAA
Molecule: long non-coding RNA, 593 nt
Organism: Struthio camelus australis
Lineage: Eukaryota; Metazoa; Chordata; Aves; Struthioniformes; Struthionidae
Source: RefSeq, a predicted model, not a curated record